UUAUUUGUUAGGUGGUCUCUUGGCUUGGACCAUGAUUUCAGUUAUUCUAUCAACUAAUUUUGUUUAGUGUCAAAUUGGUUAACAUUUUCCUCUUCCACUUUACAGACAGGAGAUUGCACAAAUGAUGAAACUAAUUUUUACGAAUCAUUCCGUGGAUCAUGGGCAGACAAGGAUACUUUUGUAUUGUUUGCUGGUUUGCAGUUUUCUGUUCUGGAUUUCACGGAUAAACAAGAAAUCUAGCAAAGUAAGCACAUGAAUAUUGGCAGAUACUUGAAGCUAUGGACUUUCAUAAAAGAAAAAUAUAAAAUAUAAAUGUGUUGAAGUGGACAGUAUAUGUUUUGAUUUUAUAAAAUUUAUAAACAAAAGUGUAUGGUCUAGUGGUUUA
RNAcentral lists this long non-coding RNA (385 nucleotides) under Selaginella moellendorffii. Its description in RNAcentral is "long non-coding RNA (SMOE_LNC000621)". The record is from RNAcentral. Lineage: Eukaryota; Viridiplantae; Streptophyta; Lycopodiopsida; Selaginellales; Selaginellaceae.